This 678-nucleotide ribosomal RNA is filed under the name Triticum aestivum (bread wheat). RNAcentral describes it as "partial small subunit ribosomal RNA". Lineage: Eukaryota; Viridiplantae; Streptophyta; Magnoliopsida; Poales; Poaceae. The record is from RNAcentral.
AUGGUGCUCCCAGAUCUGAAUAGCACUCCACCUGGAGGAGAGGAAGAUGUACAUAUGUCUGAAGAAGAGGAAGAUGUACAUAUGCCUGAAGGAGAGGAAGAUGUACGUAUACCACGGGCAAAACCAGAUCUACCAGACACUCACAAAUUUGCAGCAUAUAUUGCACUAAAAGCACUUAGCAGGGAUGGAGAAAUUGACAAGAGAGACAAAGAACGUGUAGCUGGUCUGCUGAACACAAGUGUCAGAACCGUUGAAAGAAUAUGGAAGGAGGCAAAUGCCCAGCUUGCAAGAGGAGAAGAGAUCAAUGUGUCUAAUAAAAGGAAGCGGAGAUGUGGUAGAAAGAGGGCAGACCUUGAUCUCUCGAGGAUACCUUCAAUUCCCCUCAACAAAAGGUCUACACUGAGGGCACUCGCUAGGUCUCUGGAUGUACCAUAUUCUACCUUGCGGAGAAGGUUCAAAUGGGGAAAGAUAAGGAAACACACAAACAGUCUGAAGCCCACUCUGAAACCAGAAAACAAGCUAUCAAGGCUCAAGUUUUGCAUUUCAAUGAUUGAUCAAACAACAAUAGCAGAUGCAAUGCCCUCUUUCAUUGAUAUGCAGAACAUAGUUCACAUCGACGAGAAAUGGUUUGAUAUGACGAAAAGGAACAGAACCUAUUACCUCCAUGAAGAAGAACCA